This 255-nucleotide ribosomal RNA is filed under the name Escherichia coli. Its description in RNAcentral is "partial 23S ribosomal RNA". It matches the Rfam family "Bacterial large subunit ribosomal RNA", at positions 1088 to 1341 of the family's 2925-position model. The record is from RNAcentral. Lineage: Bacteria; Pseudomonadati; Pseudomonadota; Gammaproteobacteria; Enterobacterales; Enterobacteriaceae.
GACAGCCAGGAUGUUGGCUUAGAAGCAGCCAUCAUUUAAAGAAAGCGUAAUAGCUCACUGGUCGAGUCGGCCUGCGCGGAAGAUGUAACGGGGCUAAACCAUGCACCGAAGCUGCGGCAGCGACGCUGAUGCGUUGUUGGGUAGGGGAGCGUUCUGUAAGCCUGUGAAGGUGUGCUGUGAGGCAUGCUGGAGGUAUCAGAAGUGCGAAUGCUGACAUAAGUAACGAUAAAGCGGGUGAAAAGCCCGCUCGCCGGA